AGAACUUAGUAAACAAAUAUUUUCCAACAUCUCAAAGGCUUGACUUGGUAAAAAAUCAAAAUAAAAUAUACACACAUAAUUACUACAAAGAAAAUAAUCAUGUUGACUCAAAGAAAAAAAAGCAAAAGGGAUAAAGAUUGGGUUGCCUCCCAACAAGCUCUUUCCUCAUAGCCAUUAUGAUAGGUUUGAGGUUUUAAUGAUUCUCACUUCAAAGAUAAGAAUUGAAGCACAAAAAGAGUAUCAAAAAACAUGUAGCAAACGCAUUGAAGUAUAACAUAUUUCCUAUGUGUAGGCAUCUUAUAAGUAAACAAAUUAUCAAGGCAUGAAAAAUCUAUGCUAUGCAAGGAAGAAGGAAACAUUAAGAACUUUGACAUAAACAAAUACAAUUUAGUAAAAUGAAGAUUUUUAGAAGAGUCAAUUACACCACAGAUACCAUAACUUGGCGCGAAAAUUCAGUUUGGUGCUAAAACUUGCGGCAGACAUUGAACUGGUGUCACAACUUGGCUUUGACGUGCAUAUAUGAUGUAAAUCACAUUUCUAUACGAAUGUGAUGCAGAUUAGGCGUGGACGACCAAGAGGACGUGUGCAUGCUAUUUUGCAAACAAAAAGAACCUAUCAAGGUAGGAAGGGUCCACAGUUGUCAGUGUCACAUGAAUAAUAAGUAAGAAGCUGCACCAGCAGGUAUUCGAACCGCUGAUCUAACAUGUAGACUGCGCGCGGCUGACCACUUGUCCCAUGAUUUAUUUACUUUAUAAACGGAUGCCACCACUAUAUACCCUUUUGUAUUUUUUUAGAAAUGGGUUACAGUCCUGGUUGCAAUCCCUAAAGAGAUGCCGUUGAUCUAACGUUUAGACUUAAGUACUAAAUGAGUUCCAGUCCCAACUACCCAUUUUGUAUUUUUUAAGAAAUUUAUAUGAUGUAUAUAAAUUAUAAUUGUGUGUCAUAAUUAAUUGAAAUAUAAAAAAAUAAUUUACAUUAUAAAAUAAUCACAUAGUAAUUUCACAUUUAAUCAUAUCAUUACAUUAAAAAUUACAGAAUUGUUGAUGUAUUAAUGUGCAUAUUGAAUAGAAACAUAUAUUCAAUGCUUAUAUAAGUCUAAAAUCCUCCUAGUGUUAAAAAUAUAUUAGUAUGCUAUACNCCCUAAACCACCACUAUAUAUAGGAGGAGGGGGAGGGUCUAGCCUUGAGGCACAAGGCCUCAAGGUGCGUCGGCCGCCAGGAGGAGGAGGACUCCUCCAAUUCGGUUUGGGAAGGAGGAGUCCUCCUCUUCCUUCCCACCUCCCUCUUUCCUUUUUCUUUUUCUAUAUAUUUUUGUAAAUUCUUACAUAAAUUUUAAAAUAUUCAUAGUUUUUACAAAAUAUUCAUGUAGUAGGUUGAAGUGUUCAUGCUUUAAGAAAAAUGUAUUCAUACAAUGUAAAAAUAGUUGGCCGAGAUUCAAAGGAGCUACAUGGGUCCAUCACAUGCGAGUGACCACCACAGCACCCAGCAGCAUUACUUGUUUAGGAAUUUAUAAAAUAUAUGC
Molecule: long non-coding RNA, 1521 nt
Filed under: Hordeum vulgare
Lineage: Eukaryota; Viridiplantae; Streptophyta; Magnoliopsida; Poales; Poaceae
Description: long non-coding RNA (HVUL_LNC005208)
Source: RNAcentral